GACGAACGCUGGCGGCGUGCUUAACACAUGCAAGUCGAACGGAAAGGCCCUGCUUUUGUGGGGUGCUCGAGUGGCGAACGGGUGAGUAACACGUGAGUAACCUGCCCUUGACUUUGGGAUAACUUCAGGAAACUGGGGCUAAUACCGGAUAGGAGCUCCUGCUGCAUGGUGGGGGUUGGAAAGUUUCGGCGGUUGGGGAUGGACUCGCGGCUUAUCAGCUCGUUGGUGGGGUAGUGGCUUACCAAGGCUUUGACGGGUAGCCGGCCUGAGAGGGUGACCGGCCACAUUGGGACUGAGAUACGGCCCAGACUCCUAAGGGAGGCAGCAGUGGGGAAUAUUGCACAAUGGGCGGAAGCCUGAUGCAGCAACGCCGCGUGCGGGAUGACGGCCUUCGGGUUGUAAACCGCUUUCGCCUGUGACGAAGCGUGAGUGACGGUAAUGGGUAAAGAAGCACCGGCUAACUACGUG
RNAcentral lists this ribosomal RNA (468 nucleotides) under uncultured bacterium. RNAcentral describes it as "partial 16S ribosomal RNA". It matches the Rfam family "Bacterial small subunit ribosomal RNA", at positions 28 to 507 of the family's 1533-position model. The record is from RNAcentral.